AACAUGAUUGCUGCUGGAAUGGAAGAUUCUAGUAUUUUGAUCUAUAAUAUUCGGAUUGAUGAGGUUCAUAAUCUCGUGCUUUCUAUUUGUCAAACUAUGUCGAUUCUUGAUGCCUUCUAUAGUUUGUAUUGCUUUUGAAAUUCAAUAGGUAACUUCCUCUUUUGCAUUACUUUGAAAUCAUUGUCUAUAAUGUCACUUUCUUUCAGAUAUUUUGAAGGUAAAUGGAUGUAUUCAGGAACUCCAACUAAACAGUUCAGGUAUUGGAGAUGAGGGUGCAAGGGUUAUUGCAGAUAUGCUGAAAGAAAAUCAAACUUUACGUGUACUGGAACUUAACAAUAAUAUGAUUGAAUAUUCUGGUUUUGCAAGUCUUGCUGGAGCACUAGUUGAGAAUAAGGCAAUUCGAUCUAUACAUCUCAAGCUAAUAAGACUUACACACACUUAGAUUUUCUAUCCAUGCAGUUCUUUCUUGCAGAUUUAAUUUCUUCAUCAGAUCUGUUGGCUUUCCAGUAUUUAUUGAUUGUACUACUUCUCAGCAAUUAUGUAAAACUAUAUUUCUUCUUGUUUAGGAAAAAUAACACUUCUAGAUAUUGGCAACAAUGAGAUUGGUCCCAAAGGCGCCUUUAGCAUCGCUGAGUUUGUUAAGAAAACUAAGUCCUUGCUACGGCUGAAUCUUUACAUGAAUGACAUUGGCGAUGCGGUGUGGUUAUUGACUAUUGUUGCUUUAUGCUCUGUUGCUUCACUUCUGAAACAUAAAUUAUCAUCUAAGGUGCAUAUAUAUAUCUCAUUGGAAAUCAUAUAAAUGAAUUGAUGUUACUCAUCUUUAUUGCUGCUGAGGAAUU
Molecule: long non-coding RNA, 839 nt
Organism: Zingiber officinale
Lineage: Eukaryota; Viridiplantae; Streptophyta; Magnoliopsida; Zingiberales; Zingiberaceae
Exons: 3
Source: RefSeq, a predicted model, not a curated record